CCCAGGUUGGUGUAAUGGGAACAUAACGGUUCCUGGGGGCCCACGACGGAAUCCGUAGCUCUAGGUUCGAGUCCUAGACCUGGGA
This is a non-coding RNA of Aspergillus ochraceoroseus IBT 24754, 85 nucleotides long. The record is from the annotation of a RefSeq genome assembly. NCBI's taxonomy places the organism in Eukaryota, Fungi, Ascomycota, Eurotiomycetes, Eurotiales, Aspergillaceae.